ACGCUCGACACCUACGGGAGGCAGCAGUGGGGAAUAUUGCACAAUGGGGGAAACCCUGAUGCAGCGACGCCGCGUGAAGGAUGAAGUAUUUCGGUAUGUAAACUUCUAUCAGCAGGGAAGAAGUGACGGUACCUGACUAAGAAGCCCCGGCUAACUACGUGCCACAGCCGCGGUAAUCUGAGCGGGCUGCAAGGC
RNAcentral lists this ribosomal RNA (195 nucleotides) under uncultured bacterium. Its description in RNAcentral is "partial 16S ribosomal RNA". It matches the Rfam family "Bacterial small subunit ribosomal RNA", at positions 328 to 535 of the family's 1533-position model. The record is from RNAcentral.